This 75-nucleotide transfer RNA is filed under the name Acidimicrobiaceae bacterium. RNAcentral describes it as "tRNA-Thr". It matches the Rfam family "tRNA". From Rfam's summary of the family: Transfer RNA (tRNA) molecules are approximately 80 nucleotides in length. Their secondary structure includes four short double-helical elements and three loops (D, anti-codon, and T loops). Further hydrogen bonds mediate the characteristic L-shaped molecular structure. tRNAs have two regions of fundamental functional importance: the anti-codon, which is responsible for specific mRNA codon recognition, and the 3' end, to which the tRNAs corresponding amino acid is attached (by aminoacyl-tRNA synthetases). tRNAs cope with the degeneracy of the genetic code in two manners: having more than one tRNA (with a specific anti-codon) for a particular amino acid; and 'wobble' base-pairing, i.e. permitting non-standard base-pairing at the 3rd anti-codon position. Lineage: Bacteria; Bacillati; Actinomycetota; Acidimicrobiia; Acidimicrobiales; Acidimicrobiaceae. The record is from RNAcentral.
GCCCGAGUAGCUCAGUGGUAGAGCAGCUCAUUCGUAAUGAGCAGGUCAGGGGUUCGAAUCCCCUCUCGGGCUCCA